RNAcentral lists this ribosomal RNA (348 nucleotides) under uncultured Rubrobacteria bacterium. RNAcentral describes it as "bacterial SSU rRNA". It matches the Rfam family "Bacterial small subunit ribosomal RNA", at positions 355 to 695 of the family's 1533-position model. Lineage: Bacteria; Bacillati; Actinomycetota; Rubrobacteria. The record is from RNAcentral.
UGGGGAAUCUUGCGCAAUGCGCGAAAGCGUGACGCAGCAACGCCGCGUGGGGGAAGACGGCCUUCGGGUUGUAAACCCCUUUCAGGAGGGACGAAGCCCGGGCGGUUAAUAGCCGACUCGGGUGACGGUACCUCCAGAAGAAGCCCCGGCUAACUACGUGCCAGCAGCCGCGGUAAUACGUAGGGGGCAAGCGUUGUCCGGAAUCAUUGGGCGUAAAGAGCGUGUAGGCGGUCCGGUAAGUCGGCUGUGAAAGUCCAGGGCUCAACCCUGGGAUGCCGGUCGAUACUGCCGGACUAGAGUUCGGAAGAGGCGAGUGGAAUUCCCGGUGUAGCGGUGAAAUGCGCAGAU